This 460-nucleotide ribosomal RNA is filed under the name uncultured bacterium. RNAcentral's name for it is "partial 16S ribosomal RNA". It matches the Rfam family "Bacterial small subunit ribosomal RNA", at positions 338 to 795 of the family's 1533-position model. The record is from RNAcentral.
CCUACGGGAGGCAGCAGUGAGGAAUAUUGGUCAAUGGACGAGAGUCUGAACCAGCCAAGUAGCGUGAAGGAUGACUGCCCUAUGGGUUGUAAACUUCUUUUAUAUGGGAAUAAAAUGUUCCACGUGUGGGAUUUUGUAUGUACCAUAUGAAUAAGGAUCGGCUAACUCCGUGCCAGCAGCCGCGGUAAUGCGGAGGAUCCGAGCGUUAUCCGGAUUUAUUGGGUUUAAAGGGAGCGUAGGUGGAUUGUUAAGUCAGUUGUGAAAGUUUGCGGCUCAACCGUAAAAUUGCAGUUGAAACUGGCAGUCUUGAGUACAGUAGAGGUGGGCGGAAUUCGUGGUGUAGCGGUGGAAUGCUUAGAUAUCACGAAGAACUCCGAUUGCGAAGGCAGCUCACUGGACUGCAACUGACACUGAGGCGCGAAAGUGUGGGUAUCAAACAGGAUUAGAUACCCGGGUAGUC